AACGGCCGUACCAUGCUGAAUAUACCGGUUCUAGUCAAGCAUCAUUGGGCGUGGUCAGUACUUGGGUGGGUGACCACCUGGGAACACUGCGUGCCGUU
Molecule: non-coding RNA, 98 nt
Organism: Caerostris darwini
Lineage: Eukaryota; Metazoa; Arthropoda; Arachnida; Araneae; Araneidae
Source: the annotation of a GenBank genome assembly